CCUACGGGAGGCAGCAGUGAGGAAUAUUGGUCAAUGGACGCAAGUCUGAACCAGCCAAGCCGCGUGAAGGACGACGGCUCUAUGCGUUGUAAACUGCUUUUGUACGGGGGCAAACGCAGACACGCGUGCCUGUCUGAGAGUAUCUUACGAAUAAGCAUCGGCUAACUCCGUGCCAGCAGCCGCGGUAAUACGGAGGAUUCGAGCGUUAUCCGGAUUUAUUGGGUUUAAAGGGUGCGUAGGCGGACAGUUAAGUUAGUGGUGAAAUCCCGGGGCUCAACGUCGGAACUGCCGUUGAUACUGGUCGGCUAGAGUGGAGGUGCGGUAGGCGGAAUGUGUGGUGUAGCGGUGAAAUGCUUAGAUAUC
This 363-nucleotide ribosomal RNA is filed under the name uncultured bacterium. RNAcentral's name for it is "partial 16S ribosomal RNA". It matches the Rfam family "Bacterial small subunit ribosomal RNA", at positions 338 to 698 of the family's 1533-position model. The record is from RNAcentral.